Long non-coding RNA from Marmota monax (woodchuck), 1443 nucleotides. RefSeq lists it as uncharacterized. The record is from RefSeq and is a predicted model, not a curated record. Lineage: Eukaryota; Metazoa; Chordata; Mammalia; Rodentia; Sciuridae. The transcript has 2 exons.
GCCAUCUGAUGUCAUGGCGGGUGGUGCCGCGGGGCGUGGUUUGCGUGGGCGCGGUGGUCGGUGUGGUUCCGAGGGUCUUGCUGCGCCGAGCGAGCCUCGCCUGAGGGGCCCGCUGCGGCGCGGAGUGCCGCGUGUGCACACAGGACGGUGGUUACCGCGGCGGGGGCUUCCCGCCGUGCUGAGCCGUGGUCACGCUGACCAGGAGGAGUGGCGGGUGUCAGCCCUGGCGUGACCCGCGGCCCGGCCUGCAGCGGUGACCCGGCGCCGCUGUCCAGUGCCAAGCGCAGGCCGCGCGCGCGGCGGGCGUGCCGUUGGGGUAGUUGCCGAAGUGCCCUCUCCUGCAUUGUCUGCCUGCCUUCCGCCCCGAGGAAGGAACUGGGGAGGGUCCCGGGCCCCCUCAGUGCCGCACCCCAGGAGGAGCCCUGGAAGCAGGGAUACCGGGCUUCCAGAAAUGGUUCCUGGUAUCCCCAUGUCCCCCACUGCCUCCCGGGUGGGCGCCGUUUUGAGGUUGGAGGACACGUACCCAUUCAGAUAGGUACUCGGUGCCUGCCAGUGCUCUGAGGAUAGAAUGGCCAGCUAGUCUCUUGGCAGCAUGGCCCAGGGAAGGGGGAGGCACAAGAAAUAAAUGGACACGGUGGUUUCAGAUGUUUAAAACGGUGUGUGGAAGGGCACCCUGGGGUAGGAUAGCACCUUGGGCCAAAUGACCAGAGCAAGCCAGACUCUGAAGGCUAAAUGUAAUCAGAAGGGUUCUCCUGCAGGUCUGUGGCCACUUAGAACUGCCCGAUGGGAAGGUAGAAUGGCAGUGUUCUGGGGGCCAGCCCUGGGAGGUGUAGGUAGCAGGUGUGUUCUGCAGCAUUCAAGCACUCAACCACAACAUGGGUGCCUCCUCCGGGGGCAUUUGCACCUUGAACCUCAGCUCUGGCCAUGUUCCUGCAAGAGUGACCAUGCAGCUGGAAGAAUGCAGGACACAGGCCAGGCUGGGGCUGUACCAGGUUGGGACCAUGUGACUCAGGACCAGUCACUUACCCUCUAAGUCCUCUGCAUUUUUGUAAACCGAGGAUAGCCCAGGGGUACAUCAUAGGAAUACACAAAUUAGUGAAUGAACAACUGUUAGCAUAGGACCAGAAAAUGUAUUUCUUUUUUUUUAAUUUUUUAAUAUUUAUUUUUCAGUUUUCGGUGGACACAACAUCUUUAUUUUAUUUUUAUAUGGUGCUGAGGAUCGAACCCAGCGCCCCACACAUGCCAGAGGUGGCUCAGGGUGGAGCUCCCCUGAAUUCAGUCCCCAGGGCCACACAAGAAGAAGUGCCUUCCGUGCUGACCCUGUUUUGCUGCUGCUGGAGAGGGAACCCAGAGCUUCACACUUGCAAGGCAAGUGCCCCACCACUGAGAUACCCUGCCCUUUUUGAGACAUGGUCUUGCUGAAUUGUCCAGUUGUGAUGCUCC